This 173-nucleotide small RNA is filed under the name Lactococcus garvieae. RNAcentral's name for it is "Listeria sRNA rli28". It matches the Rfam family "Listeria sRNA rli28". Lineage: Bacteria; Bacillati; Bacillota; Bacilli; Lactobacillales; Streptococcaceae. The record is from RNAcentral.
CAUGUUAUAAUAACGGAGUAGAAGUUAAAGGACGGUAGCCUAACUGGGAGGUGAUGCUUAUGACGUUUUGUAGGCUAUAACCUCAAAAUACAGAAAGGCGACAUUUUUUGUCGGUUUAUGAAGCUUUGUCACUCAUGCUUGCUUUUGCAAUGCUGGUGUUGACAUUGAAUAAU